CCGCUAUCGCUGCGGAGUAGUUUUCACUUUUUUGCGCGUGUGAUCCCAAAUCCAAAAUCAAAACUUUAAAACCAACAAAAACUCUGAAAUCUUCAGUGUAUAUUCUCGCACCUUUCGCUCUACACUACACCACAACAACAACCAACAAAUAGCCAUAAUUACAAGAUCCGCCACAACAACAACAACAACAGCAAAACAAUCUCCAAUAACAGAUAAACGAACAAAAAAAAAAAAAGUAUACAAAAAUUCGCAAUACAAAAAUCAACUAAAUAAAAUAAAACCUGCAACAAAAACUCUAAAUCUCUGAACAGAAAAAAACCAUCACUUCAUCUCCUACUUGAACGACUCUCUGACUCGACACUCGAUUGAAACAGAAAAAGAAAACUGGUAAACAGCCAAAUGAAUUAAACCAGCAAAUACAAACGAAAAGUAAAAGGCCCAAAAGCGAAAAGAAUCCCUUGGUAUUUUUCUAAAAACCUUAAGUCCCCUUCCCGACCCCACGACCCAUCGCUACCCCACCAUCAAAAGCAUUACAGAACAGAACCGAAAAACGAAAGAAAAAAUAUAAAACAAAUAAAGGCACAAAAAACAAGAAACAAAACGCAAGCAAAAAGUGGUAAAUUGUUGCUAGUAUCAGAAGAAUUUCCCUUAAAAACAAGGCGCAGUAUUUAAAAAGAAAAUAUAUAAAAAUUGAAGAUUUGCAAA
This is a long non-coding RNA of Drosophila subobscura, 705 nucleotides long. RefSeq lists it as uncharacterized. Lineage: Eukaryota; Metazoa; Arthropoda; Insecta; Diptera; Drosophilidae. The record is from RefSeq and is a predicted model, not a curated record. The transcript is spliced from 3 exons.